UCGCCUUCAUCUGCCACAGAAACAUGUCAAGAUAAAUCUUAACACAAUCUCUUUUCUUUUCUUUGUGACUUUCUAUCCUUGACAUUAGGGUCAAGAUGUUUUUCUUUUAAAACAACUGGCAAUUCUCUGCCCUUUUGUUCUGUUUGGAUCUGAGCACCCUGUCAUUUCUCUGCGGUCCCCAGUUUUAUUUUUGCUCUGGCAUCACUGGAAAUGAUGGCGUCUCACUUAGUGAUGUUUGCUAUGAAGAUCUCAUGAGCCACUUUAUCCUUCUCCCAGCCAACUGCGGAAGAAACUCAAAUUCCUCUGACAUUGCUGCAUCUGGGCGGAUCCUUGCAGCGGUUGAGGCAAGCACCAAGUGGAAAUACCAGUCAUUUGAUACUGUACCACCUGGGACCGAAGGCCAGAGCCCUCUGUUUAGAAGCUGGUAGCUUGCAGCUGUGUAGCUUGAUGGCAGGUGAAAUGUUGGCAUCUUGAAUGCUGAACCAGUGAGUAAGGUGCUGGGGUUCUAUUUUGCACACUGGUGAACCAGAAGUGACCCAAAUCAUCUGAAGGUCCUUAAUUCCAUGAAUAAAACUAUAUUCAGAAGGUGAUUAUCGUGUAAAGGAGAGGUGCAUUAUCUUUGGGGAACAAGUGACCAUGGAAACAGUGAGUGCAGGAAAUAGUAGAGCUUUGCAUUUGGGUCCUUCAGGAGGCUUUGCAGUGGAAUCACCCUGCAGCUCGGAAAAGUGGGAGCAACGUGCUGUGAUGCCACCUCUUGGCUAAUGAAUGUGGACUGUGAGGUGACAGAGGGAACCCUGAUCAUCUGACACUGACUCUUGGUACAGAACCACUGUGGAAGUCAUCCAGGAGAAAAGCAAACAACUAGUGUGCUGUAUGGUGAAGAUUUUCUGUGUUUAGUGACCGAACUCUUAUUGCCUUUGGAGAAUGAAAUCCACACUUUUUGCUUUUUGGAGUGGUUGACUUGAAUGAUAAUCAACAUGGGGGAGAGAUGGGAUUACUUUCUAAAUGGAGUAAGGGGUAAGCAAGGGUAAGCAUCUUGGACAAAAUGGCGGCAAGUAUGAAAUGACAAAAGCGCUUGUCUCCAGCAUCUGGCUAAGCAGUCUUUUGCCAAGACCCUCACCUUUGGCCUGGAUAGAGGCUCUCUAGCUGGGUCAGAGCAAAGAGCAGCAUCCUGACCAUUCAUUCCAUGGUCUCCUGGCUGACCAAGGGGGGCCAAUUAGGUCCUAUUGUGAUAGAAGUGGGAGGGAAAGUUUCCUCCAUUCCGAUGACCCUUGGAGUGACUCCAUCAGUCUUAAAGGCCAUAGGGGUGGAGGAUGGGGCGCUAUUCUCUACCUCAUUGGGCCAUAGCCAGCCCUGUGUGAGUAAUUGGUUCUGUUCCUUAGCCUGAGGUCCUUCAGAUCUAUGGGAUUGACACUGCCUUCGUGCCUCCCCCAAACAGAAAUUUGCUCAGUUUGUCAUUUCAGAAGAUGGCUGUUUGGGGAUGGGAGGAAGAAAAAUAAAAUAUAAACACUA
Molecule: long non-coding RNA, 1512 nt
Filed under: Equus caballus (horse)
Lineage: Eukaryota; Metazoa; Chordata; Mammalia; Perissodactyla; Equidae
Description: lncRNA (ENSECAG00000044406.1)
Source: RNAcentral